RNAcentral lists this unclassified non-coding RNA (327 nucleotides) under Hevea brasiliensis (rubber tree). Lineage: Eukaryota; Viridiplantae; Streptophyta; Magnoliopsida; Malpighiales; Euphorbiaceae. The record is from RNAcentral.
AAAAAAAAAAAAAAAAAACCUCCAUGGCCACCAAUUUCACAUCUGAUAUCUGUUGGACGGUAGUCAACUGUUUUUGCUUUUCUGGGUAAUCAGCAUGGCAGAAAGUAAAAUAAUUGAGAGAGGAAAAAGAGUGGGGAGAGAGAGAUUGGCAGACUGCUAUAUUUUUUUUUUUCAAUUUUUGCUUGUUAUCCACGCAAAAAACCCAUAACUUCAACUAUAACCAUCCAUUAAAAAGCUCAUAAAUUUACCAUCUCUCUAUUUGUUUGUGUCCAUUGCUUGUGGGUUUGCCAUUUUGGAGCAGAGGCAGAGAAAGAGAGAGAGAGAGAG